Clupea harengus (Atlantic herring) is the source of this 581-nucleotide long non-coding RNA. NCBI's taxonomy places the organism in Eukaryota, Metazoa, Chordata, Actinopteri, Clupeiformes, Clupeidae. The record is from Ensembl.
AGCUGACCUCCUCCACACUGUGCUGUUGCAGAUCCUGCAAACUCAACUCAGAUACUCACCAAAGCUCUAAGGGGUCUCACCAUGACCAAGCUACUAUUCAUCUCAGCCUUCAUGGCAGUACUUGUCAUCAGUGUGGUGGGUUUUCGUGUCCCAAGGCGUGCUGAGUGGGUACCCCACGUGGAAUCAAUCAAUAUAUGUCCAGACCAUGGACCUGGCUGGCCAGAUAGUUGGAAAAGAGAACCUUAAAGCUGCUCUAGAUACAACAACUGAAACAACUUUCAGUCUGACAGGCGCAGCAGCUAAUCUUGCAGAGAAAAUUUUCAAAGCUCUCUUUACAAACUAACGGCUUCACUGUCUGUGACGUCCCCAUCUGCGUGGAAUGAACACGCUCAUCAGUCUUUUACGAAGUCCAACCAUUGUGUGGAAGCUUAACUGACCAAGAACAAAAGGAGUUUUGUCUCUCUUUACUUGUGUACUAAAAAUGAUCUGAUGGACUGCAUGGUGGCCAUUUUUCUUUGACUCUUGAAAUGUACCAUCCCACAUUCAAUCCCCAAAAGACAUUUUAAAUGCUGUAACAAAAG